GAGGACCAUGUGAAGUAGUUUAAUCUUCUUCUUCUUUUGUUUUUGUUUAAUCUCUUAGGAGGACCAUUAAUAUUGGCCUUGUUACAUUAUGGGAAAUAACCCAUUUGCUUCCUAAUAAAAAAACGGAAGUGAUUAGUAUGAAGUUUAUUUUAGGGUAAGUUGGUCAAUUGACCAAUAGAAUACUAACGCGUAGGCGAGGUUGUAUGUGUGUUAAUAUUCUAUUGGCCAAUUGAUUAACUUAUCACCAAAAUAAUUUCAUGCUAACCAGAUCCAAAAAAAAAGGUCCAUCUUAUUCUGCACUGCAUCCCCAUGUCAGGAGAAACAUUGGCAUUGACCAAGGAUGACAUGGUAGUUAGAACAAAAUAUGUAACUUAUUUUAUUUUAUUUUUAAUUUUAAUGAGGAUAUUUCCAC
RNAcentral lists this long non-coding RNA (412 nucleotides) under Panax ginseng (ginseng). Its description in RNAcentral is "long non-coding RNA (PGIN_LNC018054)". The stretch from base 138 to 259 matches the Rfam family "MIR6135 microRNA precursor family". Lineage: Eukaryota; Viridiplantae; Streptophyta; Magnoliopsida; Apiales; Araliaceae. The record is from RNAcentral.